GCGGAGGAAAAGAAAAUAACAAUGAUUUCCCUAGUAACGGCGAGUGAAGAGGAAAGAGCUCAAAGUUGGAACCUGUUUGGCUUAGCUAAACCGGAUUGUAAACUGUAGAAACAUUUUCCAGAUACACUAGAUUAAAAAGUCCUUUGGAACAGGGCAUCAUAGAGGGUGAGAAUCCCGUCUUUGGUCUAAGUAGUUGUCUAUUGUGAUAUGUUUUCAAAGAGUCAGGUUGUUUGGGAAUGCAGCCUAAAUUGGGUGGUAAAUCUCACCUAAAGCUAAAUAUUUGCGAGAGACCGAUAGCGAACAAGUACCGUGAGGGAAAGAUGAAAAGAACUUUGAAAAGAGAGUUAAACAGUAUGUGAAAUUGUUAAAAGGGAACCGUUUGGAGCCAGAUUGGCUUGAUUGUAAUCAACCUAGAAUUCGUUUUGGGUGCACUUGCAGUCUAUGCCUGCCAACGACAGUUUGAUUUGGAGGAAAAAAUUAAUAGGAAUGUGGCCUUUCGAGGUGUUAUAGCCUAUUAUCAUACUCUGAAUUGGACUGAGGAACGCAGUGAAUGCCUUUAGGCAAGAUUGCUGGGCGCUUUCGCUAAUAAAUGUUAGAAUUUCUGCUUCGGGUGGUGCUAAUGUUUAAAGGAGGAACCCGCUUAGUAUAUUUUUUAUUCGCUUAGGUUGUUGGCUUAAUGACUCUAAAUGAC
RNAcentral lists this ribosomal RNA (691 nucleotides) under Mucor racemosus f. sphaerosporus. RNAcentral describes it as "eukaryotic LSU rRNA". It matches the Rfam family "Eukaryotic large subunit ribosomal RNA", at positions 50 to 648 of the family's 3401-position model. The record is from RNAcentral. Lineage: Eukaryota; Fungi; Mucoromycota; Mucoromycetes; Mucorales; Mucoraceae.